UUUACACACACACAAAAAAAACACAUAAAUAAAUCAAAUUAGAUAAUAUCUGUCGUUUUUUAAUAAAAUUGUUGACUACGAGAUUUUUUAUUCUGAAGUCUGGCAACACUGCAUAAAGGAAAUUGUGUUUAUUUUGGUUACGGUGUUCGUGUUCGAGUGUAAUUUCAUUUCAAAUGGAAAAGAAAAAUUUUAAUAAAUUUCAAAAAAGUUAUGAAUGUAAAAAGGAACCAGAAUUGGAUUGCAACUGUGAGAAAAAAGAAGAAUGGGACUGCACAAUUCAUGGACUCUCUGUUGAUGUGCAAGUGCAGGUGAAUAUUAAUCAAAGACUACAUCUACAAAAUUCUUAUGACAUGAAGUAAUAUGAGAAUUUUUUAUUGGAAUGGAAGCAUUAAUUGAAUCUGAUUAUCAGUCCUCGCCUAAUUUACCAGAGAAUCUCUCCAUCCGACCGUCGUCGAUACCUGGAGUUGGUUAUGGAAUUUGGUCCAACACAGAAAUUCCCAAAGAAGUUAUUUUUGGUCCUUAUGAAGUUCUUACGUAUCAAAAUAUCGAUUCGGGACAAAAGAGUGAAGCAAUAAAACAUAAUUGGUAAAAAGUUAAUUACUGAAAAUGUUUGCUUUAUACAAUCUUAUUUCAAAACAAUUUUGUUUGAAUGAAAAUAUUUAGGCUUAUCUUCAAUGUUCAUUAAUUGGAUAUAUCAAAACCAGAUUGUUAAAUAUGUUACAUUGGCAGUCAGUUAUCGUGUAAUUGUUCCAUAGAAGCAAGAAUAGAUUAGUAUAAUGAUUGACACUGCCAAGAUUGUACAAAAAUGUAAUCUUGACAAGUACAAUUGCUGUUUUCAUUUAAAUUCCACACAACCAAUUUCUGAAGAAGUAAACGUGUUAAUAUGACUAGACAGUGUAAGUGUUAUCUAUAGUAUACUGUUUAGCUGCAAUAAAUGUUAAGGUCAAGUAUUUUUGACAGUUCUUUCAGCUAGUAUGGAAGCUCCUAGAUCUGUUCAAGUUGUAAUGUGAAUGUGCUAUACUUUGAGAAUAAUAGCAUAUGUUGCCAACUAGUUAGAUAACACAAAUGUGCAUUACUUUUGUUUGUUAAGUGCUAUUUAGAGGAAAAAUGGAGCUUAUGGAAGAAAUGCUCAAAGAGGUAUUAAUUAAAGGCAAAAAAAGAACAUUCUCAAAUAGUAUACUAGAUAUCUUCCUCCUAGCAUUGAGGUCCUGCUUCUAUGCAGGGUCUACUUUCUUGCAUGCCCUUCUCCAUUUGGUAUGGUCCAAGGUGUUGCCGGGGUGACGUUCACCGUUCUCAUGUCAUCUUGCAGUAUACUAGAUAUGAUAUGUGUGAAAGUAGCCAAGGUUACGGAGUAAGUAGUACUCGAGUAACACUUACAGGCACUAGUCGGUAAGACCAGCUC
This is an RNA transcript of Centruroides sculpturatus (bark scorpion), 1402 nucleotides long. It is a transcript of the gene named histone-lysine N-methyltransferase PRDM9-like, with no coding region annotated. The transcript has 4 exons. The record is from RefSeq and is a predicted model, not a curated record. NCBI's taxonomy places the organism in Eukaryota, Metazoa, Arthropoda, Arachnida, Scorpiones, Buthidae.